CGGGCCUCACCUGGCGGCGGCCCCACCUGGCGGCGGCCGCUCCCGCCCGCCCCGCACCCCGCGGAAGCCGGGAGCUCAGGCCCUGGCGUCACCCGGCCCGUCGGGAAAGCGGCGCCCGGAGCCGCGGGGAGGGGAGAUGAAAGGCGGGAGGCGGGUGCGGGCCCCGGCAGCGCCAGAUGAGGGUCGGGAGCCCCGCCCCGCGCCCGGGGACCAGAUGAGGAAACUGAGGCCCAGAGGGAUAGAUAACUGGCCAAGGCCCCAGGCUCAUUGCGGAAAAGCCAGGAGGUGAACUGAAACCUUUCUGGAAGCAUUUUUAUCACCUCCCAUGACCUCGUGCUGGUACAAACCGGUUCCCUGGAAAACACAAAAGAGACACACAAGAGAACACAAGCACCUUUGAUGUCUAUGUUGGGUCCCGUGAUGCCCGCACCCCCCUCGCGGCCGAUUUCCAGCCUCCAGCGGUUUGACCACUGACUCGCAAAACUCCUCUUUAACUCUCAGCUCCUAGCACACUGCCAGAUCACCUUUCAGAGCGGAGGGCAGGCCAGUCGUGCAGGGGGACCCUGGGCGGCUUCCCGAGCGUGUCUUUGGGGAGUGCUAUGUCCCAUGGUGCCCCUCUGAGACUUGAGGAGCCCCAUCUGUGAAAUGGGCCCGACCGUCCCUUGCCUCUCUCGUCUGCCUCUCGGGGCUUUGCAGCUGCAGGUUCCAGCGGGACCCCUUGGGAGUAAAAAUUCGAGAAGGGAGCAAACACCUGAGCGAACAGCCGGUAUGUGAGCGCAUUUCUGGGUGAGUGAGGCUGGCUCUCGGCCUCAGGCGGGUCUGAGUUUUGUCUUUAUUUCUCGCACGCUGUGUGUUCCUAGGUAAGUCACUUAACUGCCCUGAGCUUCAGUUUCCUCCCUGCAGUGGGUGAUGGGAUGUCCGCUUUUGGCUGUUUUUGAGAGUUUAAUAGGCCCUUAGAAGUGCCUGACAGCAGCUUAGUUUAGUUUUGUUUUCUAAUACAUUCAUUCAAGAUAUAAGUAUUCAUCCGAACGCCUGCUGGCUGGACCUCAGACCUGUCGCCAGGCCCCCCAGCGGGAGGGCGGGAGAAAUCGCCAGAGAUCUACAGCCUUGGGUCUUGAAUUAUCCGAGUCUUGCCCCGAAUCGCCAAGACUUCUGAAAGAUCAGCGAAGAUGUUCGCGCCAGUGUUCCCCCAUGUUCACGGGCGAAGGUGGUUUUUCGGACAGUGAUAUGAUGAAAGCAAUCGGCUGGAAUAAAUUGGAGGAGGUUUUGCUUCAAGCUAUUACUGCCUAAGAGCCCCCCCCCCCCCCAUAACAACCUUUUAUCAAAAAGACAAUUGCGUGCGAUGUAACAUUGCAAAAGAAAAGUUUGGUUUUUUUGCAUUUACCCAAAACUGUGGCUGUGUGUUCUGUUUCUGUACGCAGAGAAGAGUGCCACCUCUUUUCUCUGGGGAAAGAUGGCCCUUUAUUCUGUGACCGUGUCCUUUUUAGUUUUCCUUCAGUGAUCAGCAAAUACCCUUUCCCUCAUGAAGUGAAAGUGGUGAUGGUUUUAAGCUUUUGAAAAUUAGCUUUGAAUAGGUGUUGCCUGUACACGGUGCAAAGCUAAAGGGUAGACUGUUCAAAGCAAACCGCCCUCCUUCCCUCCCUGCCUCUCAGUCAUGGGUACCUCCGCUUGUAUGUAAAUCGUUCCUGUGAUCUUGUCUAGCUCACAUGUGUGCUCCUGGGAAGAGGGUGGUGCCGUCCCCCGGCGUCGGUCCUUUGGGGAGACGUUGGGGAAAGAGGUUAAAAAAGAUCUUAGAUGCUAUUUGAAUUUUAUAAUCGUAUGCAUAGUGCCGCCUGGUGUUAUAUUUGAUUUGGAUGGGACCGUCUCAUUGGCCAGGCCCACUCACCGUCACGUGGUUGCUGUGGGGAAGCAGGCUCUAGCUUAUGAUGACACCCUUGCUUCUGUCUUUAAUGUCAUCUUUGAGGUCCUUACCCCAAGCUGUUUUCUGCUGGUGCAAACAGCCAAGGAAAGUUCCUCUUUUGUUGCUUUAGGGCAUGUUUGUGAGUAGGCUGGUUCCUGUCUGCUGGGUGCUCUGUGGCCGUGGAACCACCUGGAUCUCAAGACUGGAUCCAUAAGUGCAUAUUUGCUGAUAAUAAUGCUCAUUAGAGAAGGCAGGUGCAUGGUGGGGAGGCUUGCUGCAGUCAUGCAGACAUCACUAAUCGAUCACUAGCAGCCAUCACUAAUCGAUCACUAGCAGACAUCACUAAUUGAUCACUAUCACUACACACUCCUGUGAGAUCAGACAGGGCCUCAGAAUCCCGCUCAACACAGCGCUCUAGGGAGGGGCAAGGGAGGUGGAUGGUAGACGGCACCAGAUGGCCCUGUUAUCACACCUUAUUCUUUGGUUCCCAGACCUUGGUAUUUUAUAGAUCAGUGUAAUUUCUAAAUUUGUUUUUUAAUGUUUUUAUUUAUUUUUGAGGUGAGACAGUGCCAGCAGGGGAGGGGUAGAGA
Molecule: long non-coding RNA, 2490 nt
Organism: Leopardus geoffroyi (Geoffroy's cat)
Lineage: Eukaryota; Metazoa; Chordata; Mammalia; Carnivora; Felidae
Exons: 3
Source: RefSeq, a predicted model, not a curated record